This 468-nucleotide ribosomal RNA is filed under the name uncultured bacterium. Its description in RNAcentral is "partial 16S ribosomal RNA". It matches the Rfam family "Bacterial small subunit ribosomal RNA", at positions 28 to 507 of the family's 1533-position model. The record is from RNAcentral.
GACGAACGCUGGCGGCGUGCUUAACACAUGCAAGUCGAACGGAAAGGCCCUGCUUUUGUGGGGUGCUCGAGUGGCGAACGGGUGAGUAACACGUGAGUAACCUGCCCUUGACUUUGGGAUAACUUCAGGAAACUGGGGCUAAUACCGGAUAGGAGCUCCUGCUGCAUGGUGGGGGUUGGAAAGUUUCGGCGGUUGGGGAUGGACUCGCGGCUUAUCAGCUUGUUGGUGGGGUAGUGGCUUACCAAGGCUUUGACGGGUAGCCGUCCUGAGAGGGUGACCGGCCACAUUGGGACUGAGGUACGGCCCAGACUCCUACGGGAGGCAGCAGUGGGAAAUAUUGCACAGUGGGCGGAAGCCUGAUGCAGAAACGCCGCGUGCGGGAUGACGGCCUUCGGGUUGUAAACCGCUUUCGCCUGUGACGAAGCGUGAGUGACGGUAAUGGGUAAAGAAGCACCGGCUAACUACGUG